AUGAACGCUGGCGGCGUGCCUAAUACAUGCAAGUCGAGCGAACAGAUGAGGAGCUUGCUCCUCUGACGUUAGCGGCGGACGGGUGAGUAACACGUGGAUAACCUACCUAUAAGACUGGGAUAACUUCGGGAAACCGGAGCUAAUACCGGAUAAUAUAUUGAACCGCAUGGUUCAAUAGUGAAAGACGGUUUUGUUGUCACUUAUAGAUGGAUCCGCGCCGCAUUAGCUAGUUGGUAAGGUAACGGCUUACCAAGGCAACGAUGCGUAGCCGACCUGAGAGGGUGAUCGGCCACACUGGAACUGAGACACGGUCCAGACUCCUACGGGAGGCAGCAGUAGGGAAUCUUCCGCAAUGGGCGAAAGCCUGACGGAGCAACGCCGCGUGAGUGGUGAAGGUCUUCGGAUCGUAAAACUCUGUUAUUAGGGAAGAACAAAUGUGUAAGUAACUAUGCACGUCUUGACGGUACCUAAUCAGAAAGCCACGGCUAACUACGUG
This 496-nucleotide ribosomal RNA is filed under the name uncultured bacterium. Its description in RNAcentral is "partial 16S ribosomal RNA". It matches the Rfam family "Bacterial small subunit ribosomal RNA", at positions 29 to 507 of the family's 1533-position model. The record is from RNAcentral.